Molecule: ribosomal RNA, 741 nt
Filed under: uncultured Eubacteriales bacterium
Lineage: Bacteria; Bacillati; Bacillota; Clostridia; Eubacteriales
Description: bacterial SSU rRNA
Rfam family: Bacterial small subunit ribosomal RNA
Source: RNAcentral
GAUAAACGCUGGCGGCGCACAUAAGACAUGCAAGUCGAACGAACUUAAUUGAGAGCUUGCUCUCAAAGCGGUUAGUGGCGGACUGGUGAGUAACACGUAAGCAACCUGCCUAUUAGAGGGGAAUAACAGCGAGAAAUCGUUGCUAAUACCGCAUAUGCUGUGAGUAUCGCAUGAUACAAGCAGGAAAGGAGUAAUCCGCUAAUAGAUGGGCUUGCGUCUGAUUAGUUAGUUGGUGGGGUAACGGCCUACCAAGACGAUGAUCAGUAGCCGGACUGAGAGGUUGAACGGCCACAUUGGGACUGAGAUACGGCCCAGACUCCUACGGGAGGCAGCAGUCGGGAAUAUUGCGCAAUGGAGGAAACUCUGACGCAGUGACGCCGCGUGCAGGAAGAAGGUUUUCGGAUUGUAAACUGCUUUUAACAGGAAAGAAAAAAAUGACGGUACCUGUUGAAUAAGCUCCGGCUAACUACGUGCCAGCAGCCGCGGUAAUACGUAGGGAGCGAGCGUUAUCCGGAUUUAUUGGGUGUAAAGGGUGCGUAGACGGAAAUGUAAGUUAGUUGUGAAAUACCUCGGCUUAACUGAGGAACUGCAACUAAACUAUAUUUCUUGAGUAUCGGAGGGGUUUGUGGAAUUCCUAGUGUAGCGGUGAAAUGCGUAGAUAUUAGGAAGAACACCGGUGGCGAAGGCGACAAACUGGACGAUAACUGACGUUGAGGCACGAAAGUGUGGGGAGCAAACAGG